UAAUCUGCGAUCAUCAUGUGGUGUUCGUUUUGUUUUCACAUCUCACACAGCACCACCACACAUUCAUCUUCAUCUUCCGAUGUAUUCUGAUUUCUGAAGAAGAUAUAGAGGGUGAAAUUAUCGCAAUGGUUUUGGGAACGAUCUCUGUUACCAGACACCUCUCUAUCAUUCCCACUACAUCUUCCUUGUUUUCGUCGUCCGCUACUGCUACCGCAUGUAAUUUCGGUUUCUUCUCGGAGAAAAGAAGAAAAGUCGGGGGCUUGGGGAUUAGGUCUUCAGUGGAUGAGAGAGAGGAUGGAAUU
RNAcentral lists this long non-coding RNA (302 nucleotides) under Zostera marina. RNAcentral's name for it is "long non-coding RNA (ZMAR_LNC004425)". The record is from RNAcentral. Lineage: Eukaryota; Viridiplantae; Streptophyta; Magnoliopsida; Alismatales; Zosteraceae.